GCUGGGUGUGGUGGCGCACACCUGUGAUCCCAGCAACUCAGGAGGCUGAGGCAGGAGGAUCUUGGGUUCAAGGUCAGCCUUAGCCAUUUAGUGAGACUCUGCUUCAG
RNAcentral lists this small RNA (107 nucleotides) under Marmota monax (woodchuck). The record is from RNAcentral. Lineage: Eukaryota; Metazoa; Chordata; Mammalia; Rodentia; Sciuridae.